Molecule: long non-coding RNA, 280 nt
Filed under: Selaginella moellendorffii
Lineage: Eukaryota; Viridiplantae; Streptophyta; Lycopodiopsida; Selaginellales; Selaginellaceae
Description: long non-coding RNA (SMOE_LNC002356)
Source: RNAcentral
AAAAGAAAGAGUGCUUGAGUCCUCUUUUUAAAUAUAUGCAGCAGCCGGUGCUACAAAAAACAUUCCAUUUCCACAAGAGAUUCAAAGCAAAGAAUAGAAACAAGGUAUAUCGUAUUGCUCCGUUUUUUGUUUUGUUAUCUCUCACUUUCUCUCUUUCUUUCUUUCCAGAGAAAUCUGUGCUGGCCUUUUGGAGAUAAGAGUAGAGCACUACUUGAACUACAAGAGCUAAAGCGAAAUCGAAGAAAAAGAAUGGAAGAGGGAUCGUUGAUCAAGACGAGGA